UCACCCCUCAAGCCCUGUGCUUGGUGUUGGAGGGCGUUGGUCUUUGGCCAACCCCUCCCAAAGACAAUGACGGCGGCCUGUGGGACCCCCGGUACACUGAGCUUUUAACCGAGCACGUAUUGGAUAAGGGUCCCCAGGACACGGUUUCUCCUCUCUCAAGG
RNAcentral lists this unclassified non-coding RNA (161 nucleotides) under uncultured Cladophialophora. RNAcentral describes it as "sequence contains ITS2". Lineage: Eukaryota; Fungi; Ascomycota; Eurotiomycetes; Chaetothyriales; Herpotrichiellaceae. The record is from RNAcentral.